CGCGACGCCGGGUGGGCGGGUGGCCGAUCUGCCGCUGGCUGGUUCGGGAUUUGGGGUAAAACUUUUCGAAGACUGAUUCGCCGGUGGGGUCUAUAAACAAGUCCCGCAAAAGGUAUCACCGAAUGGUUGGAGUUUGCGAAUAGAUCUGGCACAAAUAAUACAUACAUCACUGUAUCAUUGACCUGGGCUUAUUUUUGAAGUCAAGAUAUUUUGACAGAAAAAAUUGAAGUCAGCUCUUUGGAGGAAAAAAAACAUCGAUGAAUCUGUAAAAAGGAAGUCGGCUUACUCCCAUCGGGAACAUGCCACAUAUUUGUAAUGCCAUAUAUAAAUAAAAAUUAUAUAUAUAUA
This 348-nucleotide long non-coding RNA is filed under the name Oryza brachyantha (malo sina). RNAcentral describes it as "long non-coding RNA (OBRA_LNC001209)". Lineage: Eukaryota; Viridiplantae; Streptophyta; Magnoliopsida; Poales; Poaceae. The record is from RNAcentral.